CUGUUUUGAAUGUAUAUCAAGUCAUGGAUCUAGCUUCUGGAUUUGGAUUAUGCUAAUGUUUUUUCUGUAGAACAGGGGACUUGACUUUUGCUACUAAUGCUUUUGUACAAAACAGGGGACUUGACUUGUGCUAGACUUUUGCCACUAAUGCCUUUGUACAAAACGGGGGACUUGACUUUGGCUACUAAGUUAUUUUUGAGGGUUGUUUAUAAGAUUUGGUUGUCGCUCAAAUCUAUUUUAGGGGCAUAGAUUUUGUACUUUAUGGAUAUGUAUAGACAACCAUGAAUUCUUGGAAGCAAUGAGUAGUAAAUGUUAUUUUAGUUUUGGUGCUUUCAAA
RNAcentral lists this long non-coding RNA (337 nucleotides) under Coffea arabica (coffee). Its description in RNAcentral is "long non-coding RNA (CARA_LNC001315)". Lineage: Eukaryota; Viridiplantae; Streptophyta; Magnoliopsida; Gentianales; Rubiaceae. The record is from RNAcentral.